AAUUUUGGACAAUGGGGGAAACACUGAUCCAGCCAUCACGCGUGUAUGAUGAAGGACUUCGGGUUGUAACGUACUUUUGGCCGAGAAGAAAAGGUAUACUCUAAUACGCGAUAAUGCUGGCGGUAUCUGCAGAAUACGCACCGGCUAACUCUGUGCCAGAUGCCGCGGUAAUACGUAGGGUGCAAGAGUUAGUCGGAAUUACUGGGCGUAAAGGGUGUGUAGGCGGUGCGGAAAGAAAGAUGUGAAAUCCCAGGGCUCAACCUUGGAACUGCAUUUUUAACUACCGAGCUAGAGUAUGUCAGAGGGGGGUAGAAUUCCACGUGUAGCAGUGAAAUGCGUAGAUAUGUGAAGGAAUACCGAUGGCGAAGGCAGCCCCCUGGGAUAAUACUGACGCUCAGACACGAAAGCGUGGGGAGCAAACAGG
This 424-nucleotide ribosomal RNA is filed under the name uncultured bacterium. Its description in RNAcentral is "partial 16S ribosomal RNA". It matches the Rfam family "Bacterial small subunit ribosomal RNA", at positions 360 to 776 of the family's 1533-position model. The record is from RNAcentral.